UGGGCCUUUGCUUAUUGUGAUACCAUGGGUUUGUCUACGGAUUUACUUAGAUGAUGAGAUGUUUUGGAUGGCGAUCGAUAUUAACAACUACGAGUCUUGGGAGGCUUGGUUGUUCUUAGGGCCUGUGCUUGUUAUUAAUUCGGUAAACAUUGUUUACUUAAUCCUGAUAGGAAGAUUUGUAAUAAAGAACCACAUGAUGAAGAAAAUUACCAACAGCUCAACAGAGUUGUAAAAGGCAUAUAGCAGUGGUCCAAAAGAACACACCAUUACUACAAUGU
Saccostrea cuccullata (small rock oyster) is the source of this 278-nucleotide long non-coding RNA. RefSeq lists it as uncharacterized. The record is from RefSeq and is a predicted model, not a curated record. The transcript is spliced from 4 exons. Lineage: Eukaryota; Metazoa; Mollusca; Bivalvia; Ostreida; Ostreidae.